UGAGUGCGAGCUGCUACGGCAGCGAAUUUGGUGACGUCAAGCUUCCAAGAAAAGCCCUAUACCCGUUAAGGCAUCAUGGCCUGUACCCGAAACCGACACAGGUGGGGUGGUAGAGAAUACCGAGGGGCGCGAGGUAACUCUCUCUAAGGAACUCGGCAAAAUGGCCCCGUAACUUCGGGAGAAGGGGUGCCACCGCAAGGUGGUCGCAGUGAAGAGGCCCAGGCGACUGUUUACCAAAAACACAGGUCUCCGCUAAGUCGCAAGACGAUGUAUGGGGGCUGACGCCUGCCCAGUGCCGGAAGGUUAAGGAAGCUGGUCAGCGCAAGCGAAGCUGGCGACUGAAGCCCCGGUGAACGGCGGCCGUAACUAUAACGGUCCUAAGGUAGCGAAAUUCCUUGUCGGGUAAGUUCCGACCCGCACGAAAGGCGUAACGAUCUGGGCGCUGUCUCGGAGAGAGGCUCGGCGAAAUAGAAUUGUCUGUGAAGAUGCGGACUACGUGCACCCGGACAGAAAGACCCUAUGAAGCUUUACUGUAGCUUGGUAUUGUGCCCGGGCUCUGAAUGCGCAGGAUAGGUGGGAGGCUUUGAUCAUCGGCUUGCGGGUCGAUGUGAGCCAACGGUGAGAUACCACUCUUUCAGAGCUAGGGUUCUAACAGUCACCCGUUAUCCGGGGACUGGACAGUAUCAGGUGGGCAGUUUGACUGGGGCGGUCGCCUCCUAAAAGGUAACGGAGGCGCGCAAAGGUCUGCUCAGGCUGGUUGGAAAUCAGCCGACGAGUGUAAAAGCAGAAGCAGGCUUGACUGUGAGACCUACAAGUCGAACAGGGAGGAAACUCGGCUUUAGUGAUCCGACGGUUCUGCGUGGAAGGGCCGUCGCUCAACGGAUAAAAGUUACUCUAAGGAUAACAGGCUGAUCUCCCCCAAGAGUUCACAUCGACGGGGAGGUUUGGCACCUCGAUGUCGGCUCAUCGCAACCUGGGGCUGAAGUCGGUCCCAAGGGUUGGGCUGUUCGCCCAUUAAAGCGGUACGCGAGCUGGGUUCAGAACGUCGUGAGACAGUUCGGUCCAUAUCCGGUGCAUGCGCAGGAAUAUUGAGAGGAGUUCUCCCUAGUACGAGAGGACCGGGAGGAACGCACCUCUGGUGUACCAGUUAUCGUGCCAACGGUAAACGCUGGGUAGCCAUGUGCGGAGAGGAUAACCGCUGAAAGCAUCUAAGUGGGAAGCCCACCUCAAGAUGAGUAUUCCCAUGGCGUUAGCCAGUAAGGUCACGGGAAGAACACCCGUUGAUAGGCUCUAUGUGGAAGCGCAGUAAUGCGUGAAGCAGAGGAGUACUAAUAGACCGAGGGCUUGAU
RNAcentral lists this ribosomal RNA (1349 nucleotides) under metagenome. RNAcentral's name for it is "bacterial LSU rRNA". It matches the Rfam family "Bacterial large subunit ribosomal RNA", at positions 1564 to 2925 of the family's 2925-position model. The record is from RNAcentral.